GCCUAACACAUGCAAGUCGAACGGAACUGUUUUGAAAGAUUCUUCGGAAUGAAUUUGAUUUAGUUUAGUGGCGGACGGGUGAGUAACGCGUGAGUAACCUGCCUUCAAGAGGGGGAUAACAUUCUGAAAAGAAUGCUAAUACCGCAUGAUAUAUCGGAACCACAUGGUUCUGAUAUCAAAGAAUUUUAUCGCUUGAAGAUGGACUCGCCGUCCGAUUAGUUAGUUGGUGAGGUAACGGCUCACCAAGACCGCGAAUCCGGUAGCCGGACUGAGAGGGUUGANACGGCCACAUUGGGACUGAGACACGGCCCAGACUCCUACGGGAGGCAGCAGUGGGGAAUAUUGGGCAAUGGGCGCAAGCCUGACCCAGCAACGCCGCGUGAAGGAAGAAGGCUUUCGGGUUGUAAACUUCUUUUGUCGGGGACGAAGUAGAAGACGGUACCUGGCGAAUAAGCCACGGCUAACUACGUGCCAGCAGCCGGGUAAUACGUAGGUGGCAAGCG
Molecule: ribosomal RNA, 503 nt
Filed under: uncultured Lachnospiraceae bacterium
Lineage: Bacteria; Bacillati; Bacillota; Clostridia; Lachnospirales; Lachnospiraceae
Description: bacterial SSU rRNA
Rfam family: Bacterial small subunit ribosomal RNA
Source: RNAcentral